Molecule: unclassified non-coding RNA, 336 nt
Filed under: soil metagenome
Description: partial contains 5.8S ribosomal RNA, internal transcribed spacer 2, and large subunit ribosomal RNA
Rfam family: 5.8S ribosomal RNA (bases 1-120)
Source: RNAcentral
GAUGAAGAACGUAGCGAAAUGCGAUAAGUAGUGUGAAUUGCAGAAUUCAGUGAAUCAUCGAAUCUUUGAACGCACAUUGCGCCCCAUGGUAUUCCGUGGGGCAUGCCUGUUCGAGCGUCAUUUACCCCCUCAAGCUCCGCUUGGUGUUGGGCGUCUGUCCCGCUUCGCGCGCGGACUCGCCCCAAGGGUAUUGGCAGCGGUCGUGCCAGCUUCUCGCGCAGCACAUUGCGCUUCUCGAGGCACCGGUGGGCCCGCGUCCAUCAAGCUCACCCCCCCAGUUUGACCUCGGAUCAGGUAGGGAUACCCGCUGAACUUAAGCAUAUCAAUAGCGGAGGA